Molecule: non-coding RNA, 626 nt
Organism: Prunus mume (Japanese apricot)
Lineage: Eukaryota; Viridiplantae; Streptophyta; Magnoliopsida; Rosales; Rosaceae
Source: RefSeq, a predicted model, not a curated record
GUUUCUGUUUAUACAGAUGGCUGGAACUUUUGGUUUUGGCCAUGACUGGCUGGGUGAAGGAGCUUUUGAGGAAUUAUUGUAAUAAGAAUUUCAGAAAUUGAGGUCUCUUGUGGCUUUUGGAAUAUUAUUAUCUCUGCGUAUUAUGAGAUUCAAUAGAUUGUUCUUUAAAGAAAUAUCCAUUAUUGAAUAAAUUCUCUGUAGAUAUGCCAUCAUUAUGCAAAAUCUGACUGAGAGGCUUAGGCCCCUUGUGGGUUUGAAAGGCUAGGAUUAUUGUGUUAUUUGGAAACUGAGUGAAGACCAAAGGUUUAUUGAGUUGAUGGAUUGUUGUUUUUCUGGGGCUGAUGAGAACACUCAGACUAAUGGAGGAAAUGAACUUAGUUUUCCAGUUUAUCCAGUCCUUCCAUGCAGAGAUGCAAUGCAGCACUCAAGAACAAAAUUCCUGUGAUCUUCUUGCCCAGCUUCCUUCUUCUCUGUCCUUAGACUCUGGGAUUUAUGCACAUCCAUUAAUAUCCAACCAGCCAAUUUGGUUGAAUUCAUCUUCUAACAGAGAUUCAAGUGCCAUGGCAGAAAGAGAUGAGACCAGAGUUUUGGUUCCAAAUGCAGAGGGUUGAUUGAGCUGUUUGUGA